UGAAUUGACGGGGGCCCGCACAAGCGGUGGAGCAUGUGGUUUAAUUCGAUGCAACGCGAAGAACCUUACCUGGUCUUGACAUCCACAGAACUUUCCAGAGAUGGAUUGGUGCCUUCGGGAACUGUGAGACAGGUGCUGCAUGGCUGUCGUCAGCUCGUGUUGUGAAAUGUUGGGUUAAGUCCCGCAACGAGCGCAACCCUUAUCCUUUGUUGCCAGCGAUUAGGUCGGGAACUCAAAGGAGACUGCCAGUGAUAAACUGGAGGAAGGUGGGGAUGACGUCAAGUCAUCAUGGCCCUUACGACCAGGGCUACACACGUGCUACAAUGGCGCAUACAAAGAGAAGCGACCUCGCGAGAGCAAGCGGACCUCAUAAAGUGCGUCGUAGUCCGGAUUGGAGUCUGCAACUCGACUCCAUGAAGUCGGAAUCGCUAGUAAUCGUGGAUCAGAAUGCCACGGUGAAUACGUUCCCGGGCCUUGUACACACCGCCCGUCACACCAUGGGAGUGGGUUG
RNAcentral lists this ribosomal RNA (511 nucleotides) under Salmonella enterica. RNAcentral describes it as "bacterial SSU rRNA". It matches the Rfam family "Bacterial small subunit ribosomal RNA", at positions 906 to 1417 of the family's 1533-position model. Lineage: Bacteria; Pseudomonadati; Pseudomonadota; Gammaproteobacteria; Enterobacterales; Enterobacteriaceae. The record is from RNAcentral.